Molecule: unclassified non-coding RNA, 354 nt
Filed under: uncultured fungus
Lineage: Eukaryota; Fungi
Description: sequence contains ITS1
Rfam family: 5.8S ribosomal RNA (bases 1-105)
Source: RNAcentral
GAAAUGCGAUACGUAGUGUGAAUUGCAGAAUUCCGUGAACCAUCGAAUCUUUGAACGCAGAUUGCGCUCGAGGCUUCGGCCGAGAGCAUGCCUGCCUCAGCGUCGGUUAUCACUCUCCACUCCUUCGGGAUGGGACCUGGCUCUCUCGAUUGUGUGGUGUUUUCCAGCAUCGAUCGGGUUGGCUGAAAGCAAUUGGGCGCCGGCAACUCUGCUGGUUUGAACAAGGUAGGUAGUCCCUUUUGGGAGGCUGCAUGCCGUUGAAGCCGCGGAUGCCAUUGGGUGCCUUGAGGACACGUGUAGCCUUGGCUGCACAUUUUCGACCUGAGUUCAGGCAAGAACACCCGCUGAACUUAA